Molecule: long non-coding RNA, 148 nt
Organism: Gopherus evgoodei (Goodes thornscrub tortoise)
Lineage: Eukaryota; Metazoa; Chordata; Testudines; Testudinidae
Exons: 3
Source: RefSeq, a predicted model, not a curated record
AAUAGCCACUGAUGGACCUAUCCUGCCGGGACUCUCUAAGUCUUUUUUGAACCCAGUUAUCUCUUUGUCUUCACAACAUACCCCUGGCAAUGAGUUCCACAGGUUUACUGUGCGUUGUGUGAAAAAUAUACUUCCUUUUGUUUGUUUU